RNAcentral lists this long non-coding RNA (502 nucleotides) under Coturnix japonica (Japanese quail). RNAcentral's name for it is "lncRNA (ENSCJPG00005000394.1)". The record is from RNAcentral. Lineage: Eukaryota; Metazoa; Chordata; Aves; Galliformes; Phasianidae.
CUUUGUAUCAUGUUUUGCACAAGGACUCACCUGACCUUUCACUUUUUUGUUUAAGGCUCAUUCCAAGGAAGCUGCCUGCUGUUCCCAGGUUUCUCUUUCCCUCUUAAUAUCAUCCUUAGCUAUGAGUAAUGCAGAUGACUGUUUUAAAUUCUUUAUUUUGCAGGAAAACUUUCUGCUGGAACCUGAGUCUGGGAUCUUUUCCCUCCAUGGAGAAAACCUUUGUCCUUCAGGUGAUGGCAGAUGCCUAAAAGGAAACCUUCUUUGUCUUGGGAUGAUGGUAGAAGAGGUCCAGGGGCUUCACGAGCUGGAUAUUGCACCUACAGGCCUUGGAGUCAGAGAUAAGUAUCAGAUAAUUCACUCCUCCAGAAAGCACUGCCUUAUAUUCAAAAUGGAGAGGGGGAGCAGCAGCCAGGAAGAAUGCUGGGAGUGUGGCAGGAGCUGGGUACCCACCAUAAAGCUGGGGAACAAUUUUCCUGGGACUCUCAGCCCUACAGAUGGGUAA